RNAcentral lists this ribosomal RNA (469 nucleotides) under uncultured bacterium. Its description in RNAcentral is "bacterial SSU rRNA". It matches the Rfam family "Bacterial small subunit ribosomal RNA", at positions 25 to 507 of the family's 1533-position model. The record is from RNAcentral.
CAGGACGAACGCUGGCGGCGUGCUUAACACAUGCAAGUCGAACGGUGAACCAGAGCUUGCUCUGGGGAUCAGUGGCGAACGGGUGAGUAACACGUGGGCAACCUGCCCCAGACUCUGGGAUAACCUCGGGAAACCGAUGCCAAUACCGGAUACGACCACUUCGGACAUCCGACGGUGGUGGAAAGUUUUUCGGUCUGGGAUGGGCCCGCGGCCUAUCAGCUAGUUGGUGGGGUAAUGGCCUACCAAGGCGACGACGGGUAGCCGGCCUGAGAGGGCGACCGGCCACACUGGAACUGAGACACGGUCCAGGCUCCUACGGGAGGCAGCAGUGGGGAAUAUUGCACAAUGGGCGAAAGCCUGAUGCAGCGACGCCGCGUGAGGGACGACGGCCUUCGGGUUGUAAACCUCUUUCAGCAGGGACGAAGCGAAAGUGACUGUACCUGCAGAAGAAGCACCGGCUAACUACGUG